UAAGGAAUAUUGGACAAUGGGGGCAACCCUGAUCCAGCCAUGCCGCGUGAAGGAUUAAGGCCCUAUGGGUCGUAAACUUCUUUUAUACGGGAAAAAUAUCCUGCUCGUGAGCAGGAUUGAUGGUACCGUAAGAAUAAGGGUCGGCUAACUUCGUGCCAGCAGCCGCGGUAAUACGAAGGACCCGAGCGUUAUCCGGAUUUAUUGGGUUUAAAGGGUGCGUAGGUGGACUAAUAAGUCAGUGGUGAAAGCCUGCAGCUUAACUGCAGAACUGCCAUUGAUACUGUUAGUCUUGAGUACAAUUGAAGUGGGCGGAAUGUGUCAUGUAGCGGUGAAAUGCUUAGAUAUGACACAGAACACCAAUUGCGAAGGCAGCUCACUAAACUGUAACUGACACUGAGGCACGAAAGCGUGGGUAGCAAACAGGAUUAGAUACCCCUGUAGUCC
This 444-nucleotide ribosomal RNA is filed under the name uncultured bacterium. RNAcentral's name for it is "bacterial SSU rRNA". It matches the Rfam family "Bacterial small subunit ribosomal RNA", at positions 355 to 796 of the family's 1533-position model. The record is from RNAcentral.